AGUGAACGCUGGCGGUAGGCCUAACACAUGCAAGUCGAACGGCAGCACAGUAAGAGCUUGCUCUUACGGGUGGCGAGUGGCGGACGGGUGAGGAAUACAUCGGAAUCUACUUUUUCGUGGGGGAUAACGUAGGGAAACUUACGCUAAUACCGCAUACGACCUACGGGUGAAAGCAGGGGAUCUUCUGACCUUGCGCGAUUGAAUGAGCCGAGGUCGGAUUAGCUAGUUGGCGGGGUAAAGGCCCACCAAGGCGACGAUCCGUAGCUGGUCUGAGAGGAUGAUCAGCCACACUGGAACUGAGACACGGUCCAGACUCCUACGGGAGGCAGCAGUGGGGAAUAUUGGACAAUGGGGGCAAGCCUGAUCCAGCCAUACCGCGUGGGUGAAGAAGGCCUUCGGGUUGUAAAGCCCUUUUGUUGGGAAAGAAAAGCAGCAGGUUAAUACCCCGCUGUUCUGACGGUACCCAAAGAAUAAGCACCGGCUAACUUCGUG
Molecule: ribosomal RNA, 492 nt
Filed under: uncultured bacterium
Lineage: Bacteria
Description: partial 16S ribosomal RNA
Rfam family: Bacterial small subunit ribosomal RNA
Source: RNAcentral